GUGAACGCUGGCGGUAGGCCUAACCCCUGCAAGUCGCACGGCAGCACAGUAAGAGCUUGCUCUUACGGGUGGCGAGUGGCGGACGGGUGAGGAAUACAUCGGAAUCUACUUUUUCGUGGGGGAUAACGUAGGGAAACUUACGCUAAUACCGCAUACGACCUACGGGUGAAAGCAGGGGAUCUUCGGACCUUGCGCGAUUGAAUGAGCCGAUGUCGGAUUAGCUAGUUGGCGGGGUAAAGGCCCACCAAGGCGACGAUCCGUAGCUGGUCUUAGAGGAUGAUCAGCCACACUGGAACUGAGACACGGUCCAGACUCCUACGGGAGGCAGCAGUGGGGAAUAUUGGACAAUGGGCGCAAGCCUGAUCCAGCCAUACCGCGUGGGUGAAGAAGGUCUUCGGGUUGUAAAGCCCUUUUGUUGGGAAAGAAAAGCAGCAGGUUAAUACCCCGCUGUUCUGACGGUACCCAAAGAAUAAGCACCGGCUAACUUCGUG
RNAcentral lists this ribosomal RNA (491 nucleotides) under uncultured bacterium. RNAcentral describes it as "partial 16S ribosomal RNA". It matches the Rfam family "Bacterial small subunit ribosomal RNA", at positions 29 to 507 of the family's 1533-position model. The record is from RNAcentral.